Molecule: long non-coding RNA, 571 nt
Filed under: Coturnix japonica (Japanese quail)
Lineage: Eukaryota; Metazoa; Chordata; Aves; Galliformes; Phasianidae
Description: lncRNA (ENSCJPG00005005316.1)
Source: RNAcentral
CAGGAAGAUAAUCUAGUUGAGCCUAAAUGUUUUCAUCAGACCAUGUACUCUCCAUUUGCUGUGCUAGAAUUCAAAAUUAUUACUUUCACUUUUAUAAUUUACUUUGGAGAUCACUUCUUCUGUCUCUGAAAAAAGAGUGUGUCCUCUAAAUGAUUUCUCCAAAUCCGUUCCCUGGUUUGAAAACUUCCUUCUCUAUCAACAAUAUUUUGUUAAUCACCUUUGGCCUUCGCACCUAUGACAAAAACUGUGUCUUGAUCUGUAUGAAAGUAAGGACAAUGAUUUAACUGUACUGAAGAUCCAAUCAGUGAAAGCCUGAAAAUCUGUUGGGCCAAUCUAUUCAAUCAACCAUGUGAAGUCUGUGCACAGCAAAACAAAGGGACAGCUUCAUCACUGCUCAUCCACCCAACUCAGUUUUUCUGCUCAAGAGGCACAUCUAAGACAUCUGGACCCUCUAACAGCAACUCCCAAGUUACCAAGUUUGAUCAAGGUGCAGUUCACCUUAUGCUAAUAGCCACUGAUGGACCCUUAAGUGUAUUGGAAUGCAAUAGGUUAUUCAGCAAAGACACUGGAG